Long non-coding RNA from Patella vulgata (common limpet), 791 nucleotides. RefSeq lists it as uncharacterized. The transcript is spliced from 3 exons. NCBI's taxonomy places the organism in Eukaryota, Metazoa, Mollusca, Gastropoda, Patellidae. The record is from RefSeq and is a predicted model, not a curated record.
CCGGGAUGUUUUAGUUUAUAUCGAGCCAGUGCUAUCAAACAAGUUAUGGAUGAAUACUCGAGUCCAACACUGACCCCAUUGUCAGUUUACUAUAAAGAUACUGGUGAGGACCGAUGGAUGUCAACAUUGUUGAUGAACCGUGGGUGGAGACUGCGAAACUCAGCUUUCGCCGACAAUACCACCUACUGCCCAGACAACAUAGAGGAGUUUUUAAAACAACGCCGUCGAUGGCUUCUUUCAGACAUAGCAAAUACAUUGCAUGUUGCCCAAAAUCUGAUCCCAUUGAUGAGGAACAACGACUGCUUCACAGCUGCAUACGUCUUAUACCUAAUAAACUUGUUUAUCCUCAAUAUCGUGAACCCUGGUACAACUAUAGUAAUGAUUGCAGGUGCCCUUGAGGUUUCAUUCGAUAUUCCCUACAUCGCUACAGCAAUUCCGCUGACUAUCAUGGUUUUCAUCUAUGCCAUAAUCUGUACGCAGGCUAGCAGUAGCACACAGACUAAGCUGACGACUGUUGUGGGUGCGUUGAUGGGCUGUAUAUUUGCAUCGGCAGCUGCUACUGGGUCAUAUUGGAUAGUGGUUGAUAUGGUGCACGAUGUUUCUGUUGGUCAUUUCCAAUUGCACGAAUAUUAUAUCAUUUUAUUGAUCGUUGGAAGUUUAAUUUAUUCAGCCCUUCUCCAUCCAAUUGAGAGUUAUUUGAUAGUUUAUGCAUUAGCCUACGUGUUCAUAUUUCCGGCUACGCACGUGCUUCUACCAAUCUAUAGUGUUGCCAAUAUCAUUGACCAGAGCUG